AUGGAUGCUGCAGCCGCGAGACACGCCGAGUGUGGUGCGGUCGGGGUGAUCUGCAGAAGCUCUGAAGGGAUUUUCUUGGGAGCAUCGGUGCUUGUCUUCAGGUAUAUCACAGAUCCACAGACUCUCGAAGCAAUUGCAACCAGAGAGGCCUUGGCACUAUCAGAUGAUCUUUAUCAGCGGCGGAUUCAUGUUGCCUCUGAUUGCAAAGUGGUGGUGAACGACUUGAAAAAGAAAAACUUAUCUGCCUAUGGAGCUAUCAUACAUGAAAUAAUACGCCACUCGUCAGAUUUUGUUUUUUUUUGUAAAUUUAGCCAUAAAUUUAGGAGCUCAAAUUUUGAAACUCACAACUUAGCGAAGCAUGCUUUAUCUCUCGGGGGUGGCUGCCAUGUGUGGUUGGGAAACCCUGAAGAACUUUCAUCCAUCCCUGUAAAUAUUGUGACAAAUUAA
RNAcentral lists this ribosomal RNA (447 nucleotides) under Triticum aestivum (bread wheat). RNAcentral describes it as "partial small subunit ribosomal RNA". Lineage: Eukaryota; Viridiplantae; Streptophyta; Magnoliopsida; Poales; Poaceae. The record is from RNAcentral.